Long non-coding RNA from Poecilia latipinna (sailfin molly), 1348 nucleotides. RefSeq lists it as uncharacterized. The record is from RefSeq and is a predicted model, not a curated record. The transcript has 2 exons. Lineage: Eukaryota; Metazoa; Chordata; Actinopteri; Cyprinodontiformes; Poeciliidae.
UAUUAUGUGACUUUAUCAUGGCUAAUUACUGUAUCUAAGCACAGGUACAGUGUACAAGUCCAAUUAGCCUCCAAGAGGCUAAUUUAGCUAGCUUCCACCGUAUAUUUUCCGGCAAAAAGAUGUUACCAACGUGCCUUUGUAACAUAGUUAAGAUGGUUCAGGUUAAAUCCUGCUAAAAUGCACCACCUGCUGGUCAAAAGUUGUAUUGCAUUCAUCCUAGAAAGAGCGGGGUAUUAUGGGUAAUCCUCAGAGCCAUGAGGAUCACCGACGAGGAGCUGGUUUAUCCCAGACUGACCUCACCUCCAUGCCCGUUCUGUGAAAUGCAGGUAUGUUUUACCAAAUCUCCUGUAGCAGAUGGUUAGCAUGACACUGAGUUUUAUAUUAACAGUUUUAUACAAUGAUAUGGUUAAUUUAUGUUUCUGCAUUGUUCUAAAAUGCAAGAUUAUAUAAACUAAAACAUAAAAAUGGCAUCCAGUAAAUAAAAUGUCAGCAUUUUAUUUUAUUUUUCAGAACAUUUUAAUUCGUUACUUUGCUUUCUCUGAAAGACUCACUGGUUGUUCUUUUAUUGUAAAACAAAAUCCACUAUACGAUCUCUGUAAUUUGAAAUGAUUUUAUUGUGGUUACUGUAUGAUGGGUAAUCCUCAGAGCCAUGAGGAUCACCGACGAGGAGCUGGUUUAUCCCAGAGACUGACCUCACCUCCAUGCCCGUUCUGUGAAAAAGAAAGAAACAGUUGAUACCAACUUGAGCAGCUCCUUGUUGUUCAUUGCCACACCGAUAGAAGCCACCAGAACCACAUAGGCCACACCUUCAACCAUUCGCAGCACAGUCCUACUGCCAUCAAGUCCUAAAACUACCAUCAGUAAUUUUAUAACGUAACACUUUGGAGUUAUUUUUGGUUUUAGAGUACAAAAACAUUUUGACAGGUGCAGGUUUCUACUCACCGGAGUGUAAGUGUCGCAUAGGAUGACGUCAGCUUAUUCUUCUUCUUGGGUUUUAGUGGGAUCCGUCCUUAUUUUUAUUAUUUCAAUCAAAAAUAUUAAAACGUUUACAGAACAGUUUGGCAUGCAACCACAAAAGAAAAUACAUCUUAAUUUUUCUUAAAUCAUUUGGAGUAAAUCAUUGAUAUCAUAUUCAAAAAUAGUUGGUAAAUUUUAAAAUAGGUUUUUAAAUCAAACUAACAACAACCACAACAAAAACCCUCCGGUUUUAUACUUUAUUGAGUUAUUUUUAAAUACCGAAUUAAAAUCUUAUGACUGAUACAUCUGACCUGGAUUUGAAGUAAAUAUUUUUAAUAUUGUGUUCAAACUAGCACAUCAAUUGUAAAUAAAGUUUUUUUUAAAGAAAAAA